Long non-coding RNA from Phascolarctos cinereus (koala), 445 nucleotides. RefSeq lists it as uncharacterized. The record is from RefSeq and is a predicted model, not a curated record. NCBI's taxonomy places the organism in Eukaryota, Metazoa, Chordata, Mammalia, Diprotodontia, Phascolarctidae.
GGAAAAGAAAGUUUCAAAGAAAAGGGCAUGGUCAACAGUGUCAAAGACCUCAAAGAAAUCAAGGUGGAAGGGAGUGAACUAAAAAAACCAGAGAGAAGUGGAAGGGCUUCAUUUAACAUUGUUUUAGCUAUCCCAGCUUUGCACCAUGUGCGGGUUUGGACUCACAAGUAAGAGCCUUUCCAGAACUGCACUAUGUCUAUCAGAUUCAACCAAGGGAUCCAUCCAACACGCAAGAGACCCUCAAUUUCUCCUUAUAUCAUGAAAGUAAUUUCAUUGGAGCCACUAGAUCUAAUGGCUGGGCUAGACAUCAGGCCAUGUUUUGGCAUCCCAUCCCACGGAGUUACUCAGGCAGGAAAGCCAUCUCAACAUUUGCCCACUACCUGACAUUUGUCCUUCUGCCCCACCUCAACUUUUCACUUCCCUGGAAUAAAAAUCUCUUCCUUGA